UACGUAGGGAGCAAGCGUUGUCCGGAAUCAUUGGGCGUAAAGCGCGCGUAGGUGGCUUCGUAAGUCCGUUGUGAAAGUCAAAGGCUCAACCCUGGAAAGCCGGUGGAUACUGUCGGGCUAGAGUCCGGAAGAGGCGAGUGGAAUUCCUGGUGUAGCGGUGGAAUGCGCAGAUAUCAGGAGGAACACCGAUGGCGAAGGCAGCUCGCUGGGACGGUACUGACGCUGAGGCGCGAAAGCGUGGGGAGCGAACAGG
Molecule: ribosomal RNA, 253 nt
Filed under: uncultured bacterium
Lineage: Bacteria
Description: partial 16S ribosomal RNA
Rfam family: Bacterial small subunit ribosomal RNA
Source: RNAcentral